This 2258-nucleotide ribosomal RNA is filed under the name Campylobacter jejuni. Its description in RNAcentral is "partial 23S ribosomal RNA". It matches the Rfam family "Bacterial large subunit ribosomal RNA", at positions 376 to 2465 of the family's 2925-position model. The record is from RNAcentral. Lineage: Bacteria; Pseudomonadati; Campylobacterota; Epsilonproteobacteria; Campylobacterales; Campylobacteraceae.
UAUGCGAAAAACAAACCUUAGCUAGCAGUAUCCUGAGUAGGGCGGGACACGAGGAAUCCUGUCUGAAUCCGGGUCGACCACGAUCCAACCCUAAAUACUAAUACCAGAUCGAUAGUGCACAAGUACCGUGAGGGAAAGGUGAAAAGAACUGAGGUGAUCAGAGUGAAAUAGAACCUGAAACCAUUUGCUUACAAUCAUUCAGAGCCCUAUGUAGCAAUACAGGGUGAUGGACUGCCUUUUGCAUAAUGAGCCUGCGAGUUGUGGUGUCUGGCAAGGUUAAGCAAACGCGAAGCCGUAGCGAAAGCGAGUCUGAAUAGGGCGCUUAGUCAGAUGCUGCAGACCCGAAACGAAGUGAUCUAUCCAUGAGCAAGUUGAAGCUAGUGUAAGAACUAGUGGAGGACUGAACCCAUAGGCGUUGAAAAGCCCCGGGAUGACUUGUGGAUAGGGGUGAAAGGCCAAUCAAACUUCGUGAUAGCUGGUUCUCUCCGAAAUAUAUUUAGGUAUAGCGUUGUGUCGUAAUAUAAGGGGGUAGAGCACUGAAUGGGCUAGGGCAUACACCAAUGUACCAAACCCUAUCAAACUCCGAAUACCUUAUAUGUAAUCACAGCAGUCAGGCGGCGAGUGAUAAAAUCCGUCGUCAAGAGGGAAACAACCCAGACUACCAGCUAAGGUCCCUAAAUCUUACUUAAGUGGAAAACGAUGUGAAGUUACUUAAACAACCAGGAGGUUGGCUUAGAAGCAGCCAUCCUUUAAAGAAAGCGUAAUAGCUCACUGGUCUAGUGAUUUUGCGCGGAAAAUAUAACGGGGCUAAAGUAAGUACCGAAGCUGUAGACUUGCACACAACUUAGAUUAUUUAAGUUUAGAAUAUUAAGAAACUAAGUUAUAUGUUUUAGUUAUAUUUUUACUGAUUUUUAUAGGGUAAAGAUAGAAAUAAAACUUAGUAAAAUCAGUAAAAAUAUUCUUAGGCUAAAGUUAAGUAGUUUAAGUUGUGUGCAAGUGGUAGGAGAGCGUUCUAUUUGCGCCGAAGGUAUACCGGUAAGGAGUGCUGGAGCGAAUAGAAGUGAGCAUGCAGGCAUGAGUAGCGAUAAUUAAUGUGAGAAUCAUUAACGCCGUAAACCCAAGGUUUCCUACGCGAUGCUCGUCAUCGUAGGGUUAGUCGGGUCCUAAGCCGAGUCCGAAAGGGGUAGGCGAUGGCAAAUUGGUUAAUAUUCCAAUACCAACAUUAGUGUGCGAUGGAAGGACGCUUAGGGCUAAGGGGGCUAGCGGAUGGAAGUGCUAGUCUAAGGUCGUAGGAGGUUAUACAGGCAAAUCCGUAUAACAAUACUCCGAGAACUGAAAGGCUUUUUGAAGUCUUCGGAUGGAUAGAAGAACCCCUGAUGCCGUCGAGCCAAGAAAAGUUUCUAAGUUUAGCUAAUGUUGCCCGUACCGUAAACCGACACAGGUGGGUGGGAUGAGUAUUCUAAGGCGCGUGGAAGAACUCUCUUUAAGGAACUCUGCAAAAUAGCACCGUAUCUUCGGUAUAAGGUGUGGUUCGCUUCGUACUAGGAUUUACUCCGAAAGCGAAGAAACUUACAACAAAGAGUCCCUCCCGACUGUUUACCAAAAACACAGCACUCUGCUAACUCGUAAGAGGAUGUAUAGGGUGUGACGCCUGCCCGGUGCUCGAAGGUUAAUUGAUGGGGUUAGCAUUAGCGAAGCUCUUGAUCGAAGCCCGAGUAAACGGCGGCCGUAACUAUAACGGUCCUAAGGUAGCGAAAUUCCUUGUCGGUUAAAUACCGACCUGCAUGAAUGGCGUAACGAGAUGGGAGCUGUCUCAAAGAGGGAUCCAGUGAAAUUGUAGUGGAGGUGAAAAUUCCUCCUACCCGCGGCAAGACGGAAAGACCCCGUGGACCUUUACUACAGCUUGACACUGCUACUUGGAUAAGAAUGUGCAGGAUAGGUGGGAGGCUUUGAGUAUAUGACGCCAGUUGUAUAUGAGCCAUUGUUGAGAUACCACUCUUUCUUAUUUGGGUAGCUAACCAGCUUGAGUUAUCCUCAAGUGGGACAAUGUCUGGUGGGUAGUUUGACUGGGGCGGUCGCCUCCCAAAUAAUAACGGAGGCUUACAAAGGUUGGCUCAGAACGGUUGGAAAUCGUUCGUAGAGUAUAAAGGUAUAAGCCAGCUUAACUGCAAGACAUACAAGUCAAGCAGAGACGAAAGUCGGUCUUAGUGAUCCGGUGGUUCUGUGUGGAAGGGCCAUCGCUCAAAGGAUAAAAGGUA